RNAcentral lists this ribosomal RNA (1795 nucleotides) under human gut metagenome. RNAcentral's name for it is "bacterial LSU rRNA". It matches the Rfam family "Bacterial large subunit ribosomal RNA", at positions 140 to 1976 of the family's 2925-position model. The record is from RNAcentral.
CUUUGCAGGUAUCCCAUCCUGAAUAUAUAGGGAUGGGAGGCGAACGAAGCGAACUGAAACAUCUAAGUAGCUUCAGGAAAAGAAAUCAACCGAGAUUCCGAAAGUAGCGGCGAGCGAAAUCGGAUCAGCCCAGCACUCGAUAGCAGCCAACUUACGGGAACGGUCUGGAAAGUCCGGCCAUAGAGGGUGAUAGCCCCUUACUGGAAAAGGCAGCUGUGGUACUAAGUGUGCGAUAAGUAGAGCGGGACACGUGACAUCCUGCUCGAAGAUGGGGGGACCAUCCUCCAAGGCUAAAUACUCGUGAUCGACCGAUAGCGUACCAGUACUGUGAAGGAAAGGUUAAAAGAACCCCGGGAGGGGAGUGAAAUAGAUCCUGAAACCGCAUACAUACAAACAGUAGGAGCCUCGUUAAGGGGUGACUGCGUACCUUUUGCAUAAUGGGUCAGCGACUUACGUUUAAUGGCGAGCUUAACCGUAUAGGGGAGGCGCAGCGAAAGCGAGUUCGAACAGAGCGUUCAGUCGUUAGGCGUAGACCCGAAACCAGAUGAUCUAUCCAUGGCCAGGUUGAAGGUGUGGUAACACACACUGGAGGACCGAACCGACUAGUGUUGCAAAAUUAGCGGAUGAGCUGUGGAUAGGGGUGAAAGGCUAAACAAAUCUGGAGAUAGCUGGUUCUCCCCGAAAACUAUUGAGGUAGUGCCUCGUGUAUGACUCCAGGGGGUAGAGCACUGUUAUGGCUAGGGGGACAUGGCGUCUUACCAAACCAUGGCAAACUCCGAAUACUUGGAAGUUUGAGCACGGGAGACAGAGCACCGGGUGCUAACGUCCGGACUCAAGAGGGAAACAACCCAGACCGCCGGCUAAGGUCCCUAAUAUUGACUAAGUGGAAAACGAAGUGGAAAGGCUAAGACAGUCAGGAAGUUGGCUUAGAAGCAGCCAUCCUUCAAAGAAAGCGUAAUAGCUCACUGAUCGAGUCUUUCUGCGCGGAAGAUGUAACGGGGCUAAGUCAAUAACCGAAGCCGCGGAUUCACACUUGUGUGUGAGUGGUAGGGGAGCGUUCUGUAAGCCUGCGAAGGUGACUCGUAAGGGUUGCUGGAGGUAUCAGAAGUGCGAAUGCUGACAUGAGUAACGUUAAAGCGGGUGAAAAGCCCGCUCGCCGUAAGCCCAAGGUUUCCUGCUCUACGUUCAUCGGAGCAGGGUGAGUCGGCCCCUAAGGUGAGGCUGAGAAGCGUAACUGAUGGGAACAAGGUUAAUAUUCCUUGACCACCGCUGAAUGCGAAGGGGGGACGGAGUAUUGAAGAUCAUCCGGGUGUUGGAUAUCCCGGUUUGCGAGCGUAGGAGGCUGACAGGCAAAUCCGUCAGCGAAUCUCCGAGGCGAAGCAUCGAGCUCUCUUUUGAGCGAAGUGAUUGGAUGUGCUUCCAGGAAAAGCCUCUAAGCUCCAGUUCAGCGGGACCGUACCGCAAACCGACACUGGUGGGCGAGCUGAAUAUGCUCAGGCGCUUGAGAGAACUCAGGAGAAGGAACUCGGCAAAUUGACACCGUAACUUCGGGAUAAGGUGUGCCUUUGUAGCGUGGAGGGAGAAACACCCCGAGCGCGAAGAGGUCUCAGAUAAUCGGUGGCUGCGACUGUUUAUUAAAAACACAGCACUCUGCAAAGACGAAAGUCGACGUAUAGGGUGUGAUGCCUGCCCGGUGCUGGAAGAUUAAUUGAUGGGGUGCAAGCUCCUGAUCGAAGUCCCAGUAAACGGCGGCCGUAACUAUAACGGUCCUAAGGUAGCGAAAUUCCUUGUCGGG